Molecule: ribosomal RNA, 246 nt
Filed under: uncultured bacterium
Lineage: Bacteria
Description: partial 16S ribosomal RNA
Rfam family: Bacterial small subunit ribosomal RNA
Source: RNAcentral
AGUAACGCGUGGGCAACCUGCCCCCAUAGAGGGGGACAACAGCUGGAAACGGCUGCUAAUACCGCAUAACAAGGAGAGAGCGCAUGUUCUUUUCUUCAAAGAUUUAUCGCUAUGGGAUGGACCCGCGUCUGAUUAGCUAGUUGGUGAGGUAACGGCUCACCAAGGCGACGAUCAGUAGCCGGCUUGAGAGAGUGAACGGCCACAUUGGGACUGAGACACGGCCCAGACUCCUACGGAAGGCAGCAG